RNAcentral lists this ribosomal RNA (460 nucleotides) under uncultured bacterium. RNAcentral describes it as "partial 16S ribosomal RNA". It matches the Rfam family "Bacterial small subunit ribosomal RNA", at positions 338 to 795 of the family's 1533-position model. The record is from RNAcentral.
CCUACGGGUGGCAGCAGUGAGGAAUAUUGGUCAAUGGACGAGAGUCUGAACCAGCCAAGUAGCGUGAAGGAUGACUGCCCUAUGGGUUGUAAACUUCUUUUAUAUGGGAAUAAAAUGUUCCACGUGUGCCUUUUUGUAUGUACUUUAUGAAUAAGGAUCGGCUAACUCCGUGCCAGCAGCCGCGGUAAUACGGAGGAUCCGAGCGUUAUCCGGAUUUAUUGGGUUUAAAGGGAGCGUAGAUGGGUUGUUAAGUCAGUUGUGAAAGUUUGCGGCUCAACCGUAAAAUUGCAAUUGAUACUGGCAGUCUUGAGUACAGUUGAGGUAGGCGGAAUUCGUGGUGUAGCGGUGAAAUGCUUAGAUAUCACGAAGAACUCCGAUUGCGAAGGCAGCUUACUAAACUGCCACUGACAUUGAUGCUCGAAAGUGUGGGUAUCAAACAGGAUUAGAUACCCCAGUAGUC